Molecule: ribosomal RNA, 245 nt
Filed under: uncultured Bacteroidales bacterium
Lineage: Bacteria; Pseudomonadati; Bacteroidota; Bacteroidia; Bacteroidales
Description: partial 16S ribosomal RNA
Rfam family: Bacterial small subunit ribosomal RNA
Source: RNAcentral
UACGGAGGAUGCGAGCGUUAUCCGGAUUUAUUAGGUUUAAAGGGUGCGUAGGCGGGGCUUUAAGUCAGCGGUAAAAUCAUAUAGCUUAACUAUAUCAAGCCAUUGAUACUGGAGUCCUUGAGUACGGUUGAGGCUGGCGGAAUGUGUUGUGUAGCGGUGAAAUGCUUAGAUAUGACACAGAACACCGAUUGCGAAGGCAGCUAGCUAAGCCGGCACUGACGCUGAGGCACGAAAGCGUGGGGAUC